GACGAACGCUGGCGGCGUGCUUAACACAUGCAAGUCGAACGGAAACGCCCUGCUUUUGUGGGGUUCUCGAGUGGCGAACGGGUGAGUAACACGUGAGUAACGUGCCCUUGACUUUGGUAUAACUUCAGGAAACUGGGGCUAAUACCGGAUAGGAGCUCCUGCUGCAUGGUGGGGGUUGGAAAGUUUCGGCGGUUGGGGAUGGACUCGCGGCUUAUCGGCUUGUUGGUGGGGUAGUGGCUGACCAAGGCUUUGACGGGUAGCCGGCCUGAGAGGGUGACCGGGCACAUUGGGACUGAGAUAAGGCCCAGACUGCAACGGGAGGCAGCAGUGGGGAAUAGUGCACAAUGGGCGGAAGCCUGAUGCAGCAACGCCGCGUGUGGGAAGACGGCCUUCGGGUUGUAAACCGCUUUCGCCUGUGACGAAGCGUGAGUGACGGUAAUGGGUAAAGAAGCACCGGCUAACUACGUG
RNAcentral lists this ribosomal RNA (468 nucleotides) under uncultured bacterium. RNAcentral's name for it is "partial 16S ribosomal RNA". It matches the Rfam family "Bacterial small subunit ribosomal RNA", at positions 28 to 507 of the family's 1533-position model. The record is from RNAcentral.